UACGUAGGGUGCGAGCGUUAAUCGGAAUUACUGGGCGUAAAGCGUGCGCAGGCGGUUCUCCAAGUCCGUUGUGAAAGCCCCGGGCUCAACCUGGGAAUGGCAGUGGAAACUAGGGGACUGGAAUCUGGCAGAGGGGGUGGAAUGCCGCGUGUAGCAGUGAAAUGCGUAGAGAUGCGGCGGAACACCGAUGGCGAAGGCAGCCCCCUGGGCUGAGAUUGACGCUCAGGCACGAAAGCGUGGGGAGCAAACAGG
This 252-nucleotide ribosomal RNA is filed under the name uncultured bacterium. Its description in RNAcentral is "partial 16S ribosomal RNA". It matches the Rfam family "Bacterial small subunit ribosomal RNA", at positions 524 to 776 of the family's 1533-position model. The record is from RNAcentral.